UGGCUCAGAUUGAACGCUGGCGGCAGGCCUAACACAUGCAAGUCGAGCGGUAGAGAGAAGCUUGCUUCUCUUGAGAGCGGCGGACGGGUGAGUAAUGCCUAGGAAUCUGCCUGGUAGUGGGGGAUAACGUUCGGAAACGGACGCUAAUACCGCAUACGUCCUACGGGAGAAAGCAGGGGACCUUCGGGCCUUGCGCUAUCAGAUGAGCCUAGGUCGGAUUAGCUAGUUGGUGGGGUAAUGGCUCACCAAGGCGACGAUCCGUAACUGGUCUGAGAGGAUGAUCAGUCACACUGGAACUGAGACACGGUCCAGACUCCUACGGGAGGCAGCAGUGGGGAAUAUUGGACAAUGGGCGAAAGCCUGAUCCAGCCAUGCCGCGUGUGUGAAGAAGGUCUUCGGAUUGUAAAGCACUUUAAGUUGGGAGGAAGGGCCAUUACCUAAUACGUGAUGGUUUUGACGUUACCGACAGAAUAAGCACCGGCUAACUCUGUGCCAGCAGCCGCGGUAAUACAGAGGGUGCAAGCGUUAAUCGGAAUUACUGGGCGUAAAGCGCGCGUAGGUGGUUUGUUAAGUUGGAUGUGAAAUCCCCGGGCUCAACCUGGGAACUGCAUUCAAAACUGACUGACUAGAGUAUGGUAGAGGGUGGUGGAAUUUCCUGUGUAGCGGUGAAAUGCGUAGAUAUAGGAAGGAACACCAGUGGCGAAGGCGACCACCUGGACUGAUACUGAC
This 729-nucleotide ribosomal RNA is filed under the name Pseudomonas sp. 110623_PC_C1_B1. RNAcentral describes it as "bacterial SSU rRNA". It matches the Rfam family "Bacterial small subunit ribosomal RNA", at positions 20 to 744 of the family's 1533-position model. The record is from RNAcentral. RNAcentral also lists the same sequence under 3 other names. Lineage: Bacteria; Pseudomonadati; Pseudomonadota; Gammaproteobacteria; Pseudomonadales; Pseudomonadaceae.